This 75-nucleotide transfer RNA is filed under the name candidate division WS6 bacterium OLB20. RNAcentral describes it as "tRNA-Lys". It matches the Rfam family "tRNA". Rfam says of the family: Transfer RNA (tRNA) molecules are approximately 80 nucleotides in length. Their secondary structure includes four short double-helical elements and three loops (D, anti-codon, and T loops). The record is from RNAcentral.
GGGUCGGUAGCUCAAUGGUAGAGCAGUGGCCUUUUAAGCCAUUGGUUGAGGGUUCGAGUCCCUCCCGACUCACCA